CCUACGGGAGGCAGCAGUUGGGAAUAUUGGACAAUGGGCGAAAGCCUGAUCCAGCCAUGCCGCGUGUGUGAAGAAGGCCUUCGGGUUGUAAAGCACUUUCAGUGGGGAAGAAAGCCUUGGGGCUAAUACCCUCGAGGAAGGACAUCACCCACAGAAGAAGCACCGGCUAACUCCGUGCCAGCAGCCGCGGUAAUACGGAGGGUGCGAGCGUUAAUCGGAAUUACUGGGCGUAAAGCGCGCGUAGGCGGUCUGAUAAGCCGGUUGUGAAAGCCCCGGGCUCAACCUGGGAACGGCAUCCGGAACUGUCAGGCUAGAGUGCAGGAGAGGAAGGUAGAAUUCCCGGUGUAGCGGUGAAAUGCGUAGAGAUCGGGAGGAAUACCAGUGGCGAAGGCGGCCUUCUGGACUGACACUGACGCUGAGGUGCGAAAGCGUGGGUAGCAAACAGGAUUAGAUACCCCAGUAGUC
Molecule: ribosomal RNA, 465 nt
Filed under: Vreelandella stevensii
Lineage: Bacteria; Pseudomonadati; Pseudomonadota; Gammaproteobacteria; Oceanospirillales; Halomonadaceae
Description: partial 16S ribosomal RNA
Rfam family: Bacterial small subunit ribosomal RNA
Source: RNAcentral